RNAcentral lists this ribosomal RNA (1202 nucleotides) under Cervus elaphus xanthopygus (Manchurian Wapiti). Its description in RNAcentral is "partial 18S ribosomal RNA". The record is from RNAcentral. Lineage: Eukaryota; Metazoa; Chordata; Mammalia; Artiodactyla; Cervidae.
GACCAACUCGACGGUCAUCGUAUACGAACAGAGUUUCUAAUUCGGUACGUACAGAUUCAUGCGUGCCGGCCAUGUCACUUUGACGCUUACCGAGUAAUUUAGUCAAUACCAAGGAAACCAGCGAGCGAGGAGAGGAUGAACCUAUUGACACCAUUAAGAUCUCGAUUAUGUACGGCUGCCCGCGACUGGGGGAAGCGCCCCCCCUACGCACGUAAAUAGUCUAGUUUUGGUUGGGCCAGUCGGAGGAGGGCCGGGGCCGGCCCCCCGCCCGCGGCCGCCGAAACCACUGAGAUCUAUUGGAGCCCGGCUAGCGUGCGGGGGGCACCGCCGCUGCUGGGUAAGCUUGCAGACGGGAUAGUUGAAAGCUACCAUCAGCGACACGGAUGGUACCACUGGUGCCCACUGCCCCUUAGUCCCAAGCUAAGGCCUCUCCCUCGGACUCUUUGCCGAUGGUGUAGGUUCCUUCCGUCGUCCGCGCGUUUAAUGGGUGAGGGCUGGGCCCCUCCAUCACUGCUUUUUAUUGUUAUGUCCUGAGAAAGCUCCGGGACAUUAACCUUACUCAGGUGAAAUUUAGGAAGGCGCUCUAGGUAACCUCCCGUUCAGACCACGGUCGUCGGCGCCAUUAAGGUCGAGGUUAUCGCAUAUAAUUUCAACGACGUCAAUUUUUCGAGCAUCAACCUAGAACCCUCGCCCGCCCGCCAGGGCGCCUGCUCGGUGGCGGGCAGGGGCGGGGAACGGAGAGCCGCGGGGGAGCUACGAGAAUCGACUCACAGGGCGCCCCGGGCUUCGCAAAUGAAACUUUUUUAAUCUCACAAGUUUCGUCCGGGCUCGGCGGACCUAUGGCGUCGAUCCUUAUUACCUUAUCCUGGCGCCAAGAUAAAACAACCAAAAGCCUUGACUCCGGUACUAAUUCUCCCUGCCGGCCCCCGUAAGCAUAACGCGGCGAUCUCCACUUUAAGAACCUGGCCGCGUUCUGCCUGGUCUCGCUUUCGUAAACGGUUCUUACAAAAGUAAUUAGUUCUUGCUUUCAGCCUCCAAGCUUCUGCUAGUCUAUGGCAGCAUCAAGGCUGGUAUUUGCUACGGCUGACCGCUACGCCGCCGCAAUAAGGGUACUGGGCGGCCCGUCGAAGGCCCUUUGGUUUCAGAAACCCAAGGCCCCCCUCAUACCAACGUUUCGACUUUGAAUUUCCUUAACUGCCUUC